UACGUAGGCAGCAGGCGUUGUUCGGAGUUACUGGGCGUAAAGGGUGUGUAGGCGGUCUUCUAAGUUUGGUGUGAAAUCUCCCGGCUCAACUGGGAGGGUGCGCCGAAAACUGGGAGGCUAGAGUGCUGGAUGGGAGAGUGGAAUUCCUGGUGUAGCGGUGAAAUGCGUAGAUAUCAGGAGGAACACCGGUGGUGUAGACGGCUCUCUGGACAGUAACUGACGCUGAGACACGAAAGCGUGGGUAGCAAACAGG
This 253-nucleotide ribosomal RNA is filed under the name uncultured bacterium. Its description in RNAcentral is "partial 16S ribosomal RNA". It matches the Rfam family "Bacterial small subunit ribosomal RNA", at positions 524 to 776 of the family's 1533-position model. The record is from RNAcentral.